CCUACGGGUGGCAGCAGUGGGGAAUAUUGCACAAUGGGGGAAACCCUGAUGCAGCGACGCCGCGUGAGUGAAGAAGUAUUUCGGUAUGUAAAGCUCUAUCAGCAGGGAAGAAACUGACGGUAGCUGACUAAGAAGCCCCCACUAUCUACGUGCCAGCAGCCGCGGUAAUACGUAGGGGGCAAGCGUUUUCCGGAUUUACUGGGUGUAAAGGGAGCGUAGACGGCCAGACAAGUCAGAAGUGAAAGCCCGGGGCUCAACCCUGGGACUGCUUUGGAAACUGCCGAACUGGAGUGCAGGAGAGGUAAGCGGAAUUCCUAGUGUAGCGGUGAAAUGCGUAGAUAUUAGGAGGAACACCAGUGGCGAAGGCGGCUUACUGGACUGUAACUGACGUUGAGGCUCGAAAGCGUGGGGAGCAAACAGGAUUAGAUACCCCUGUAGUC
RNAcentral lists this ribosomal RNA (440 nucleotides) under uncultured bacterium. RNAcentral describes it as "partial 16S ribosomal RNA". It matches the Rfam family "Bacterial small subunit ribosomal RNA", at positions 338 to 795 of the family's 1533-position model. The record is from RNAcentral.